Molecule: long non-coding RNA, 778 nt
Organism: Dermacentor silvarum
Lineage: Eukaryota; Metazoa; Arthropoda; Arachnida; Ixodida; Ixodidae
Exons: 2
Source: RefSeq, a predicted model, not a curated record
UUGUAGCGGCAGGCAGGCGCUAUUUCGCCUUCGCCUUGGCGCCUACGGCCUGUAGCUUUCGCGCGCGCGUGUUGUUUAACCUUUCGCUCGGCAUUUUAAACGUUCCCCGGAAUUCGUUUCGCCCGCUCCUCGUUGCUAGCUCGGCCGAAGCCUGCCGUUAACGUUUUUUGUGUCUCUCGCCCGCGGAAGCCGUACGGGGGCGCUUUCCGUCGUCGUCGACGUCGUCUCACAUUCUUCUUUCUGCUUGCGUUGUACUGCGCCGUUAUAGAUGGGAAAUAAUGCGCGUACCGGUGCGGCCAUAAUGCGCGCUUUCUAAAAUCCGCGAAAAACCUGCAACGUCCCGUUUUUUGUUUUUUCCUGUGGCCUGCUCGGCGGGACCGCGGUUCAAGACGCCUGAACUGUGGCCGUGGUUUUUUUCUGUCUCUGGAAGUGUGCCUGGAUUUGUGCCGGCGACUAGGGGCUGUACUUGCGCGCAGAGGCGAAGCCGAUCGCCUUGAACAAUGGGGGCCAUAUAGGCCUCGGGCCUUCUGAAGAAUGAAUAUUCUCGGCGAAGAAGGCCUUGCCUUGCCAGCAAGAUUGAGGGACACCGAGUUCGAUGACACGAAUGGCGACAUGCUUUCCUCUCCGUCAAUUGUUGACGUCACACGCCUCGGACGUGCUGUAUGAUAAGAUUAAAAGAUAAGCCUUGAACGUGAUGAGCAUUUCGGGAGGCCGGACCAAUUAAUGAGUGAAGUCGCGAAAAUCGGCGAUGAAGAGAAAUUGAGACGCAUUAGGAAAU